GACGAACCGUGCGAACGUUGUUCGGAUUCACUGGGCUUAAAGGGCGCGUAGGCGGGCUCUCAAGUCGGGGGUGAAAUCCCACCGCUUAACGGUGGAAGUGCCUCCGAUACUGGGAGCCUGGAGGGAGGUAGGGGUGUGUGGAACUUCCGGUGGAGCGGUGAAAUGCGUAGAUAUCGGAAGGAACGCCGGUGGCGAAAGCGACGCACUGGACCUCUUCUGACGCUGAGGCGCGAAAGCCAGGGGAGCAAACGGGAUUAGAUACCCCGGUAGUCCUGGCCCUAAACGAUGGGUACGAGGUGGUGGGCCAGCAUGGGCUCACUUCCGAAGCGAAAGUGCUAAGUACCCCGCCUGGGGAGUAUGGUCGCAAGGCUGAA
This 374-nucleotide ribosomal RNA is filed under the name uncultured bacterium. RNAcentral describes it as "bacterial SSU rRNA". It matches the Rfam family "Bacterial small subunit ribosomal RNA", at positions 524 to 898 of the family's 1533-position model. The record is from RNAcentral.